GACGAACGCUGGCGGCGUGCUUAACACAUGCAAGUCGAACGGUGAACCACUUCGGUGGGGAUCAGUGGCGAACGGGUGAGUAACACGUGGGCAACCUGCCCUUAGCUCUGGGAUAACCCCGGGAAACCCGGGCUAAUACCGGAUACGACCUCGAGCGGCAUCACUCGAGGUGGAAAGAAUUUCGGCUAAGGAUGGGCCCGCGGCCUAUCAGCUUGUUGGUGGGGUAACGGCCUACCAAGGCGA
RNAcentral lists this ribosomal RNA (243 nucleotides) under uncultured Actinomycetes bacterium. RNAcentral's name for it is "uncultured actinobacterium partial 16S ribosomal RNA". It matches the Rfam family "Bacterial small subunit ribosomal RNA", at positions 28 to 276 of the family's 1533-position model. The record is from RNAcentral. Lineage: Bacteria; Bacillati; Actinomycetota; Actinomycetes.